RNAcentral lists this ribosomal RNA (1304 nucleotides) under uncultured bacterium. RNAcentral's name for it is "bacterial SSU rRNA". It matches the Rfam family "Bacterial small subunit ribosomal RNA", at positions 28 to 1381 of the family's 1533-position model. The record is from RNAcentral.
GAUGAACGCUGGCGGUAUGCUUAACACAUGCAAGUCGAACGAAAGUUUUUAACUUUAGUGGCGAACGGGUGCGUAAUACGUGAGAAUCUGCCCUUAGGAGGAGAAUAACUGCUGGGAACGGCUGCUAAAUCUUCAUACGUCGAGAGAUGAAAUAGCUUAGGCUGCCUAAGGAUGAGCUCACGCCUGAUUAGCUAGUUGGUGAGGUAAUGGCUCACCAAGGCCACGAUCAGUAGCUGGUUUGAGAGAACGAUCAGCCACACUGGGACUGAGACACGGCCCAGACUCCUCCGGGAGGCAGCAGUGAGGAAUUUUCCGCAAUGGGCGAAAGCCUGACGGAGCAAUACCGCGUGAGGGAUGAAGGAUUUUGGUCUGUAAACCUCUUUUCUCAAGAAAGAAGUUCUGACGGUACUUGAGGAAUAAGCAUCGGCUAACUCCGUGCCAGCAGCCGCGGUAAUACGGGGGAUGCAAGCGUUAUCCGGAAUCAUUGGGCGUAAAGCGCCUGUAGGUUGUUUAAUAAGUCUGUUGUUAAAGACUAGGGCUUAACCCUAGAAAAGCAAUGGAAACUACUAGACUAGAGUAUGGCAGGGGUAGAGGGAAUUUCUAGUGUAGCGGUGAAAUGCGUAGAUAUUAGAAAGAACACCGGUGGCGAAAGCGCUCUACUGGACCAUUACUGACACUCAGAGGCGAAAGCUAGGGUAGCAAAAGGGAUUAGAUACCCCUGUAGUCCUAGCCGUAAACGAUGGAUACUACAUGUUGUGCAUUAUGUACAGUAUGGUAGCUAACGCGUUAAGUAUCCCGCCUGGGGAGUACGCUCGCAAGGGUGAAACUCAAAGGAAUUGACGGGGGCCCGCACAAGCGGUGGAGCAUGUGGUUUAAUUCGAUGCAACGCGAAGAACCUUACCAGGACUUGACAUACUACAAAUUCUUUGGAGACAAAGAAGUGCCUUCGGGAAUGUAGAUACAGGUGGUGCAUGGCUGUCGUCAGCUCGUGUCGUGAGAUGUUGGGUUAAGUCCCGCAACGAGCGCAACCCUUAUUUUUAGUUACCAAUUCGUUGGGUUCUCUAGAAAGACUGCCGGUGACAAACCGGAGGAAGGUGAGGAUGACGUCAAGUCAGCAUGCCCCUUAUGUCCUGGGCUACACACGUGCUACAAUGGUUAAGACAAAGAGUCGCGAGCUCGUAAGAGUCAGCUAAUCUCAUAAACUUAGCCCAAGUUCAGAUUGUAGGCUGCAACUCGCCUACAUGAAGUUGGAAUCGCUAGUAAUCGCUGGUCAGCCAUACAGCGGUGAAUCCGUUCCCGGGCCU